This 483-nucleotide ribosomal RNA is filed under the name uncultured bacterium. RNAcentral describes it as "bacterial SSU rRNA". It matches the Rfam family "Bacterial small subunit ribosomal RNA", at positions 29 to 501 of the family's 1533-position model. The record is from RNAcentral.
AACGAACGCUGGCGGCGCGCCUAACACAUGCAAGUCGAACGAGAAUCCGGGGCAACCCGGUAGUAAAGUGGCAAACGGGUGAGGAAUACAUGGGUAACCUACCCUUGAGAAGGGAAUAACCCGCCGAAAGGGUGAGCUAAUACCCUAUACGCUAUCUUUUUUUCGAAAAGGAUAGGAAAGCCGGGUCGAGGACCUGGUACUCAAGGAGGGGCUCAUGUCCUAUCAGCUUGUUGGUGGGGUAACGGCCUACCAAGGCUACGACGGGUAGCUGGUCUGAGAGGAUGAUCAGCCACACUGGCACUGAGAUACGGGGCCAGACUCCUACGGGAGGCAGCAGUGAGGAAUAUUGCGCAAUGGGGCGAAAGCCUGACGCAGCGACGCCGCGUGGGGGAUGAAGGUUUUCGGAUUGUAAACCCCUUUCAUGAGGAAAGAUAAAGUGGGUAACCACGUUAGACGGUACCUCAAGAAGAAGCCACGGCUAAC